AUUGAACGCUGGCGGCAUGCCUUACACAUGCAAGUCGAACGGCAGCACGGGAGUAAUCCUGGUGGCGAGUGGCGAACGGGUGGGUAAUAUAUCGGAACGUGCCCAGUCGUUGGGGAUAACGCAGCGAAAGCUGUGCCAAUACCGCAUACGAUCUACGGGCGGAAGCGGGGGAUCUCAAGACCUCGCGCGAUUGCAGCGGCCGAUGUCAGAUUAACUAGUUGGUGGGGUAAAGGCCCAACAAUGCGACGAUCUGUAGCUGGUCUGAGAGGACGACCAGCCACAAUGGAACUGAGACACGGUCCAGACUCCUACGGGAGGCAGCAGUGGGGAAUUUUGGACAAUGGGCGCAAGCCUGAUCCAGCAAUGCCGCGUGCAGGAUGAAGGCCUUCGGGUUGUAAACUGCUUUUGUACGGAACGAAACGGCCCUUUCUAAUACAGGGGGCUAAUGACGGUACCGUAAGAAUAAGCACCGGCUAACUACGUGCCAGCCGCCGCGGUAA
This 500-nucleotide ribosomal RNA is filed under the name uncultured bacterium. RNAcentral describes it as "partial 16S ribosomal RNA". It matches the Rfam family "Bacterial small subunit ribosomal RNA", at positions 30 to 523 of the family's 1533-position model. The record is from RNAcentral.